AUACUACUCCCUCCGUCUGGAAAUACUCGUCGGAGGAAUGGAUGUAUCUAGAUCUAUUUUAGUUCUAGAUACAUUUAUUUAUUUUUAUGCAUUUCUCCGACAAGUAUUUGGACGGAGGGAGUACUCC
Triticum aestivum (bread wheat) is the source of this 127-nucleotide non-coding RNA. NCBI's taxonomy places the organism in Eukaryota, Viridiplantae, Streptophyta, Magnoliopsida, Poales, Poaceae. The record is from Rfam.